Molecule: ribosomal RNA, 228 nt
Filed under: uncultured bacterium
Lineage: Bacteria
Description: partial 16S ribosomal RNA
Rfam family: Bacterial small subunit ribosomal RNA
Source: RNAcentral
CGGGUGAGUAAUACAUCGGAACGUGUCUUCUAGUGGGGGAUAACUGCCCGAAAGGGCAGCUAAUACCGCAUGAGACCUGAGGGUGAAAGCGGGGGAUCGCAAGACCUCGCGCUGGAAGAGCGGCCGAUGUCCGAUUAGCUAGUUGGUGAGGUAAAGGCUCACCAAGGCGACGAUCGGUAGCCGGUCUGAGAGGACGACCAGCCACACUGGGACUGAGACACGGCCCAG